This 432-nucleotide ribosomal RNA is filed under the name uncultured bacterium. Its description in RNAcentral is "partial 16S ribosomal RNA". It matches the Rfam family "Bacterial small subunit ribosomal RNA", at positions 29 to 507 of the family's 1533-position model. The record is from RNAcentral.
ACGAACGCUGGCGGCAUGCCUAACACAUGCAAGUCGAACGAGACCUUCGGGUCUAGUGGCGCACGGGUGCGUAACGCGUGGGAACCUGCCCUUAGGUUCGGAAUAACUCCCCGAAAGGGGUGCUACUACCGGAUAAUGUCUUCGGACCAAAGAUUUAUCGCCUUUGGAUGGGCCCGCGUUGGAUUAGCUAGUUGGUAGGGUAAAAGCCUACCAAGGCGACGAUCCAUAGCUGGUCUGAGAGGAUGAUCAGCCACACUGGGACUGAGACACGGCCCAGACUCCUACGGGAAGCAGCAGUGGGGAAUAUUGGACAAUGGGCGAAAGCCUGAUCCAGCAAUGCCGCGUGAGUGAUGAAGGCCUUAGGGUUGUAAAGCUCUUUUACCCGGGAUGAUAAUGACAGUACCGGGAGAAUAAGCUCCGGCUAACUCCGUG